RNAcentral lists this long non-coding RNA (533 nucleotides) under Ananas comosus (pineapple). Its description in RNAcentral is "long non-coding RNA (ACOM_LNC038167)". The record is from RNAcentral. Lineage: Eukaryota; Viridiplantae; Streptophyta; Magnoliopsida; Poales; Bromeliaceae.
AGUUGCAGCAGCAGUAGGUUCAGCGCUAAGGCCCUGUUUGGAUGCAUAGUUAAAAAAUUUCAUGAAAUUUUUAUUCUAUGAUUUUGGUCUAAAUGAAAUACAGAAUUCUGUAACUAUAAAAAAAAUUCAUAGCUUCAUUUUUAAGUUGUUUGGAAACAGAUCAUACAAUUCCACAGUAUUUAUAACAAUUAAAUUUCUAAAAUUUUAAAAUUCAAAAUUCAAAAUUCAAAAUUCAAAAUUCAAAAAUAAAAUUUUAAAAAAUAAAAUUCAAAAUUCAAAAUAUAAAAUUUAAAUUUAAAAUUAAAAAUUAAAAAAUUAAAUUAGAUUUUAUGUUUUAAAUUUGAAAUUAGAAAUUUGGAAUUUGAAUUUAAAAUUUGAAAUUUGAAACUUUAAAUUUUAAAAUUUAAAGUAUAACAUUUAAACUUUAAAAUUUGAAAUUUGAAAAAUCUAUAAUUAAAAUUUUAAAUUUUAAAUUUAAUAAUUUAUAAAUUUACAUAUUUAUAAAUUUAAAAUUUAAAAUUUAAGUUUAAAUU